Molecule: transfer RNA, 83 nt
Filed under: Felis catus (domestic cat)
Lineage: Eukaryota; Metazoa; Chordata; Mammalia; Carnivora; Felidae
Rfam family: tRNA
About the family: Transfer RNA (tRNA) molecules are approximately 80 nucleotides in length. Their secondary structure includes four short double-helical elements and three loops (D, anti-codon, and T loops). Further hydrogen bonds mediate the characteristic L-shaped molecular structure. tRNAs have two regions of fundamental functional importance: the anti-codon, which is responsible for specific mRNA codon recognition, and the 3' end, to which the tRNAs corresponding amino acid is attached (by aminoacyl-tRNA synthetases). tRNAs cope with the degeneracy of the genetic code in two manners: having more than one tRNA (with a specific anti-codon) for a particular amino acid; and 'wobble' base-pairing, i.e. permitting non-standard base-pairing at the 3rd anti-codon position.
Source: Rfam by way of RNAcentral
GCUCAGUUGGUUAAGUGUCAAACUCUUGAUUUCAGCUCAGGUCAUGAUCUCAUGGUUUGUGGGUUCAAGCCCCACAUUGGGCU